AACGAACGCUGGCGGCAUGCCUAACACAUGCAAGUCGAACGAGACCUUCGGGUCUUGUGGCGCACGGGUGCGUAACGCGUGGGAAGUUGCCCUUAGGUUCGGAAUAACUCCCCGAAAGGGGUGCUAAUACCGGAUAAUGUCUUCGGACCAAAGAUUUAUCGCCUUUGGAUGGGCCCGCGUUGGAUUAGCUAGUUGGUAGGGUACAAGCCUACCAAGGCGACGUUCCAUAGCUGGUCUGGGAGGAUGAUCAGCCACACUGGGACUGAGACACGGCCCAGACUCCUACGGGAGGCAGCAGUAGGGAAUAUUGUACGAUGAGCGAAAGCCUGGUCCAGCAAUGCCGCGGGAGAGAUGAAGGCCUUAGUGUUGUAAAGCUCUUUUACCCGGGAUGAUAGUGACAGUACCGGGAGAAUAAGCUCCGGCUAACUCCGUG
Molecule: ribosomal RNA, 433 nt
Filed under: uncultured bacterium
Lineage: Bacteria
Description: partial 16S ribosomal RNA
Rfam family: Bacterial small subunit ribosomal RNA
Source: RNAcentral